This 2096-nucleotide long non-coding RNA is filed under the name Homo sapiens (human). RNAcentral describes it as "non-protein coding lnc-SLC25A51-6:6". Lineage: Eukaryota; Metazoa; Chordata; Mammalia; Primates; Hominidae. The record is from RNAcentral.
CAUAUAUUAAACUGUCUUUAUUCAAAUGAGCAUGGUUUGUCUUCUGAUUAGACCUUGACUGAUGAAGAUAGAGAAUAAUAUGGCCAGGAAAAUAAGUUUAAAGUGUCUUAACACUGUAGAUAAAAAAAGUUAUGAUUCCCAGUCUAGAAUUAAAGUGCUCUGACCAUCUAGGGGAAUGACUUUUACAAAGUUGGUAACCUAGGGAGUUUGAUUUCUUUGUAAGGCAUAGCCCACCUCUGUGAUUUCUAGUAUACCUUUGAACAGUGUAAAGUUCCUUCUUGGAAGAAAGGAGGCAGCAAAUGUCAUCACGUGCCUUGUUCUUGUUGAACAGCUAUGGAGAACUGCUCAGAAAAGGAAUCACAUUCUAAAGGAGACUCCGGACACACCUUUGCCACUUCAUUAAAUUUCAUUUUCUUUUCUCUUCCCACCAGGCUAUUAGCUCCAGAUUGUGAAAUCAUACAGGAAGUGGGAAAACUCUAUCCACUGGAGAUAGUAUUUGGAAUGAAUGGAAGAAUAUGGGUUAAGGCAAAAACCAUCCAGCAGACUUUAAUUUUGGCAAACAUUUUAGAAGCUUGUGAACACAUGACGUCAGAUCAAAGAAAACAGAUCUUCUCCAGAUUGGCAGAAAGUUGAUAUAGGUGGACUUUUUUACAGGUCAGUUGAGGCAAAAAACUAUGGGUUUUUUCAGGUGAACCUCCCCCAUUUAAAUACUCAGAAGAUAAGGUGUGAAUGUAUGUAUUAUUAGAGUCCGAAAGUAUUUUUAUAAGUUACUGGUUUUCACCCACGCUUUUGUGGGAGAGAAAAUCAUUGCAAAAUCAUUUUUUUUGUUCGGUACAAUAAAGUUUACUAAAAAACAGUAUUAGGGUUUAUUUGGAGUUAACUCCCUUAGUAAUUGCUACAGCUUCCAUAAUUAACUGGAGGUCAGCAGUAAAAUAAUUUUGUGAUUAUAACAGUAAGCCAGGUUCACCAGAGGAAAUGUGGAAUACCUAAGUAUAAAGCAGCAAAGAAAUGUCACCUGUAGUCCCAUUAUUCAGCGGGUGAGUAUAUAACAACGAAAUACUUUUUCAUUUACCAAGUAUUGUGUUUUGCAUGGAUUAACUCCUUUAUUCUAACUGCAGAAGACACUUAUCCUCAUAAUUGAAACUGAGGCACAGAAUUUAACUUGGCCUACAUUCUCUAUAUUCAUCAAAUUGAAAUUAUAGUUAUUAUAGCUUAUAUGCCACUUUGUAAUAUACUUUUGUCUACUUCAAACAGCAUGAUACAUUUCACAACUUUAGUCACAUAUUUCAUGUUACAGGAUAUUUUUGAGUUUUAUCAUUAUAUAAAUAACACUAUGAGGAUUUCUGAAUCCAAAUCUGGCCAAGUCUUAUUUUGCUAAAAUCAUUUCCUAGGAGCUAAGCAUAGAAAACUCUUCUAUGCUAUUUAGUAUAUUAACCAAAACCUUUAGAGGUAAAGAGACUGCCAGGUGAUCCACAUCAGUGAUUCUUGGUUUCUAGACCUCUGAGAAUAUGUGAGAUACAGAUCCCCUGAAGCCUAUCCAUAGAAAGUCCUUUUUGGAUCAAAGAGAUUAUAGAACUCUAUUUGUUGAUAAAGACCAAGGAGCUUCGUGUGUUUCUAAUGUUUUCUAAGGACUGGAUGGUUUUUAGUUCAAUAGCUUUUAGGGGUACAAGUGGUUUUGGAUUACACGGAUGAAUUGUAUAGUGGUGAAGUCUGAGAUUUUGGUGUACCAGUCACCUGAGUACUAUAUAUUGUACCCAGUAUGUAGUUUAUCCUUCCCCCUUCCCUGUUCCGGGUCUCCAGUAUCUGUUAUACCACUCUGUGUGCUUACCUGUAGCUUAGCUCCCACUUAAAGUGGGAACAUUUGGUAUUUGGUUUUCCAUUCCUGAGUUACUUCACUAAGAAUAAUAGCUUCCAAUACUAUCCAAGUUGCUGCAAAAGACAUUUUUUAUGGCUAAUAUUCCAUGGGAUAUAUAUACCACACUUUAUCCAUUCAUUGGUUGAUGGGUACUUAGGUUGGUCCCAUAUCUUUUAUUAUGAACUGUCUAGCCAGUUUUUAAAUAGAAAAGUACUGAUUAGGUGAACAGUUCCUUAGGAAU